GCUGGCGGCGGCGGGAGCAGGCGGGCUCGUAGGCGGCGCCGCAGCCCUAGCCGGUCCGGCUUGGCGGCGUGCGGGUCCGACGCUGACCUGAUCCCUUAGUGCUCUGAUCCCGCACCAGGCGUCCGGCGGCGCGGACAGGUUCCGGAGAGUUUGCCCUGGAGCGCGGGUUACUCUGUGGAAUGAGCCCCACGAGAUCAAGAAAACAUUGAAACUCCAUGGAGAAAUAGACCUUACAGUCUUUGGAUUCAGACAUGAAGAGAAACACAGCCGUCUGAACUGGUCAUGAAAGCCAAACAAGUCUUCUUUUCUGUCCUGCUGUUUGGGACAGCAGGGCUUCUGCUCUUCAUGUACUUGCAAGCAUGGG
RNAcentral lists this long non-coding RNA (364 nucleotides) under Rattus norvegicus (Norway rat). RNAcentral's name for it is "long non-coding RNA NONRATT013670". Lineage: Eukaryota; Metazoa; Chordata; Mammalia; Rodentia; Muridae. The record is from RNAcentral.